GAGGGGGGGAACCGGCGGGCCGGGGCCCGCCCGGACCCUCUUUGCUGCUGCACCCGGAAGCGCGGCGGGGGGCACGUCCCCUUACUCUGGGUGGGGGCCAUUUCCGGCGUGGCAUUUCCGGUCGAGGCACUUCCGGCUUCCGGUAGCGGCGGAAGAGCGAAGAGCGACCGGCGAGAGGAAAGGCCGGGGCCACCCCGCCCCCACCCGCUCCGGGGACCCCCCGAAGACCCCCCGGGACCACCCGGGACCCCCCCCGCGACCCCCCCCCGGACCCUCCGAGGCCGCCAUGACGCGUCACGGGAAGAACUGCACGGCGGGGGCCGUGUACACCUACCACGAGAAGAAGAAGGACACGGCGGCCUCGGGCUACGGCACCCAGCGGGUGCGGGGUGGGGCCGCGACGCCGUCAAGGACUUCGACUGCUGCUGCCUCUCGCUGCAGCCCUGCCGGGACCCCGUCGUCACCCCCGACGGGUUCCUGUACGAGCGUGAGGCGAUUUUGGGGUACAUCC
This is a non-coding RNA of Phalacrocorax carbo (great cormorant), 511 nucleotides long. NCBI's taxonomy places the organism in Eukaryota, Metazoa, Chordata, Aves, Suliformes, Phalacrocoracidae. The record is from RefSeq and is a predicted model, not a curated record.